CAGGAGAUCGAGACCAUCCUGGCUAAGAUGGUGAAACCCCGUCUCUACUAAAAAUACUAAAAAAAAAAUUAGCUGGGCGUGGCGGCGGACGCCUGUAGUCUCAGCUACUCCAGUGGCUGAGGCAGGAGAAUGGCGUGAACCCAGGAGGCGGAGCUUGCAGUGAGCAGAGAUCGCGCCACUGCACUCCAGCCUGGGCGAAAGAGCGAGACUCCAUCUCAAAAAAAAAAAAAAAAAAAUUGUGGUAGGAAAUUUCCAGACCUUUUUGAGUUUUUAAGGCUUUUGGAUGUACAGUUGACCCUUGAACAAUGCAGGAGUUAGGGGUACCAAUAUCCUUGCAUUAGAAAAUCCAUAUAUAACUUCUUUUUUUUUUUUUUGAGACAGCGUUUUACUCUGUUGCCCAGGCUUCAGUGCAGUGGUGCAAUUUUUGCUCACUGCAACCUCUACCUCCCAGGCUCAAGCCACCUCAGCCUCCCAAGUAGCUGGGACCACAGGCACGUGCUAACAUGCCUGGUUAAUUUUUGUAUUUUUUUGUAGAGUUGGGGUUUCACCGUGUUCCCCAGGCUGGUCUUGAACUCCUGAGCUCAAGCAAUCCAUUUGCCUUGGCCUCCCAAAGUGCUAGGAUUACAGGUGUGAGCCACCACAUCUGGCCCAUAUAUAACUUAUGACUGCCCACUAACUAUUAAUAGCCUGCUGCUGACUGGAAUCCUUACUGGUAACAAUCGAUCAACACAUAUUUUGCAUGUUAUAUGCAUCUUAUGCUGUAUUCUUACAAGAAAGUAAGCUAGAGAAAAGAAAAUGUUAUGAAGAAAAACACAAGGAAGAUAAAAUAUAUUAACUAUUUAUUAAGUGCAAGUGGCUGAUGAUAAAGAUCUUCACCCUUGUCAUCUUCACAUUGAGUAGGCUGAGGAGGAGGAAGAGGAAGAGGAGGGGUUGGUUUUGUUCUCUCAGGGGUGGCAGAGGAGGAAGAAAAUCCAUGUAUAAGUGAACACCCACAGCCAAACCUGUGUUGUUCAAGGGUUAACUGUAUUUUCUUUUUAUUAUGUAAUGGGGGCUAUUUGCACACAUCUACUAAGAAGCGCAAAUAAAAUGUAUUUCUUUAUUUUCUAUAAUGAUAUAAUCUUCCUCAUCCUCCCUCACUCGACUGAGUGGUGAUGGACAGUGGAGGUGGGGGCACAGUCAAGCCUUUUAAUCAGCCCCUCUGUAUCUAUAGGUUUUGAUAUGGUUUGGCUGUGUCACCACCCAAAUCUCCUCUUGAAUUGUAGUUCCCAUAAUCCCCAUGCAUCAUGGGAGGGACCAGGUGGAUAUAAUUGGAUCAUGGGGUGGUUUCCCCUGUCCUAUUCUCCUGAUAAUGAGUUUGUUCUUCACAAGAUCUGAUGUUUUUAUAUGCAGCUUCCCUCUCUGCUGGUCACUCAUUCUUCUCUCUCCUGCUGCCAUAUGAAAAAGGACCCGUUUCCUUCCCCUUCUGCCAUGAUUGGACCUGGGAGUGCGACAUGGUGGCCUCAGGGGAAAAGGGCUCUCGUCUAGACCUUCUGACUGUCCUCUGGAUCUUCCUGGUGUCCAUGCGGGGCUGCUGCUCUGGGCUGGCCCCAGGGCCUUUGGCCAGUGUCCAUGAGACCCGGAAUUCCAGCAACCAGUUUGACAACUCCUACAGAGAAACAGGAUCCACAUAAGGAUACAGCUUCUUCAUAUCCCUGUCCCAUGACUUCACCCUGCGUUCUUCAACCAAUCAAUGUGUCAGGCCUCUGAGCCCAGGCCUGCACGUAUACAUCCAGAUGGCAUGAAGUAACUGAGGAAUCACAAAAGAAGUGAAACUGGCCGGUUCCUGCCUUAACUGAUGACAUUACCUUGUGAAAUUCCUUCUCCUGGCUCAUCUGGGCUCAGAAGCUCCUCCACUGAGCACCUUGUGACCCCCCACCCCUGUCCGCCAGAGAGCAACCCCCUUUGACUGUAAUUUUCCACUACCUACCCAAAUCCUGUGAAAUGGCCCCACCCCAUCUCCCUUCACUGACUCUAUUUUCGGACUCCGCCCGCCUGCACCCAGGUGAAAUAAACAGCCUUGU
This 2060-nucleotide long non-coding RNA is filed under the name Homo sapiens (human). Its description in RNAcentral is "non-protein coding lnc-CLCN3-1:3". Lineage: Eukaryota; Metazoa; Chordata; Mammalia; Primates; Hominidae. The record is from RNAcentral.